UAGGGAAUCUUCCACAAUGGGCGCAAGCCUGAUGGAGCAACAUCGCGUGAGUGAAGAAGGGUUUCGGCUCGUAAAGCUCUGUUGUUAAAGAAGAACACGUAUGAGAGUAACUGUUCAUACGUUGACGGUAUUUAACCAGAAAGUCACGGCUAACUACGUGUCAG
RNAcentral lists this ribosomal RNA (164 nucleotides) under uncultured bacterium. RNAcentral describes it as "partial 16S ribosomal RNA". It matches the Rfam family "Bacterial small subunit ribosomal RNA", at positions 355 to 511 of the family's 1533-position model. The record is from RNAcentral.